GCUGUUUUGUACGGAAAACGUGGAAUCUAAAUAAUAUACCGUUUCCCUGCUCUGCUGCUAUUGGCAAUACAAUUUGUCAUGUCAUCUGCAACAGACGAUCAUACAUAUAUGGCGGACUAUCGAUAUAGAUACAGCCAGGUAGCAAUAGCAGUGGAAGCACGGAUUUGCAAGCCAAAAUGAGGGAAAGACAGAAUUCUGAAAAGGAGCAUGUUUUUCAUUUCCAUACAUGCAUGUGUAUCACUAUGGACAUCUAAUGUUUUUGUGGGAUUUUGUCCAGCAGUUUGCCUUAAAAGAAUUUUUUUAUAUUUUAGUUUCAUAUUUAUGUGGAUUCAAAUAAAAAUCAUACAAACUUCAUUCAUGAUUUUUUUUGUUUUUCAUUUCUAAACUUAAUAACAUUUCACUUUCAUAGAAAUUUUGAAACAGAAAUGUUUAAAAAUUUGAUAAAUAAGGGUUUUCUGGAACCAGACUGAUAUUUUAAAAAUUCUCUAGAAAAUAGUGUAUUGUAUUUUGAGGUCUAUUAUUGUUGAAUACUGUGCCUAGUAUUGGUAACAAAUGCAUGCAACAAAAAUCUCUUACACUUAUUUGGUGUAGAGAUCCACCUUAACAUUUGAUUUGUCACACAACGAGAGAGAACUCUGGCGCUUGUUCAAUAUAUUUAUUUAACACAACAGCUAAUUAAUAUAUUUUUUGAACCGAAUAUCUUGAUUCAUGAUUAAUUGUAUAUUAUAGCGUCAACACCAAAAUUGCAUGAUGUAAGCUCACAAACUUCGUACCAAGGUUAUAAAAGUCCUACAUUCUCCGUAUUUAAACGAUUCGGAAAUUUAUUAUAGCUGGAAUUUUUCAUUAGAUAAAUCGCAAAUUCAUUAAAUUGGAACUAAAUUCAUCAAAAAUGCUGCAUGUUUGAAAACCAUGGAUAUAUUGCUCUGCAAAUUGGCUUCGUCAAGGGUCUGUGGUCUAUACUUUCACAAGUACUGUUAUUGGGAUUAAGUCUGUUUUGAUGAAAUCCAAAUUUGGAUAGUAUAUGUCGUAAUGUGUGUACACACACGUUUAAAGAAUAAAGAAAGAUCUUAAAUCAAGGGAAUAAUGCUGGGUUUCCAAAUUGGAUUUUCAUUUUAUUGAAUACAGAUUUCACUGAACAAUCAUGUUUUCUUUUUAUAUGAAAACUAUAAUUAUCGCACAUAGAAAAAAAACCCGUGCCGUUUCAAGACACAAAAAACAAACUUUAGUUUAAAAAUUUGGCCAGUGUAGAUUAUAUAUUUAUUUGUUAUUCCCCCUUAUUAGUUGUUAUUGAAAGUUUAAAUUUUACUAUGACGUAAAUAUGUAAUAAAUGCUUUGUAAAUAAUGAUUUUUUCCCUGAAGUCCUUUUAACCUGCUGUCUUUAACAAUAUGAAUCCAAACGGCGUCGAAACGGAAUUUUCGAAAAAAAGUCAGAUAUUUUUUUUUUUUUAUAAAACAUUCAUUUUGACUUUUAUCGCUUUUUAUUCUAGCUGUUUUAAAUGGUUCAUUAGAGAGUGGUAUAUUAAGAGUUACAUUGUUUUUUUAACAUUUUAAACAUUAAUAUCCCUCAUACUAGUCAUCUAUAAAUUGUACAUAUUUUUAUGAAAUGUUUAACAAGUUCUGCAAAAUCUUUGAAUUCCAUAAAAAGAAAGAAAAUUUUAG
Magallana angulata is the source of this 1659-nucleotide long non-coding RNA. RefSeq lists it as uncharacterized. The record is from RefSeq and is a predicted model, not a curated record. The transcript is spliced from 3 exons. NCBI's taxonomy places the organism in Eukaryota, Metazoa, Mollusca, Bivalvia, Ostreida, Ostreidae.